CCUACGGGUUGCAGCAGUGGGGAAUAUUGCACAAUGGGCGCAAGCCUGAUGCAGCCAUGCCGCGUGUGUGAAGAAGGCCUUCGGGUUGUAAAGCACUUUCAGUCGUGAGGAAGGUGGUGUAGUUAAUAGCUGCAUUACUUGACGUUAGCGACAGAAGAAGCGCCGGCUAACCCCGUGCCAGCAGCCGCGGUAAUACGGAGGGUGCGAGCGUUAAUCGGAAUUACUGGGCGUAAAGCGCAUGCAGGUGGUUUGUUAAGUCAGAUGUGAAAGCCCGGGGCUCAACCUCGGAAUAGCAUUUGAAACUGGCAGACUAGAGUACUGUAGAGGGGGGUAGAAUUUCAGGUGUAGCGGUGAAAUGCGUAGAGAUCUGAAGGAAUACCGGUGGCGAAGGCGGCCCCCUGGACAGAUACUGACACUCAGAUGCGAAAGCGUGGGGAGCAAACAGGAUUAGAUACCCGUGUAGUC
This 465-nucleotide ribosomal RNA is filed under the name uncultured bacterium. RNAcentral describes it as "bacterial SSU rRNA". It matches the Rfam family "Bacterial small subunit ribosomal RNA", at positions 338 to 795 of the family's 1533-position model. The record is from RNAcentral.